Molecule: long non-coding RNA, 761 nt
Filed under: Mytilus galloprovincialis (Mediterranean mussel)
Lineage: Eukaryota; Metazoa; Mollusca; Bivalvia; Mytilida; Mytilidae
Source: RNAcentral
AUAUAUAAAAAGGCAUAUUCCUGACUUGGUACUGGACAUUUUUAAAGGAAAAAAUGGUGGGUUGAACCUGGUUAUAAAAUGCAUUUCGUCCAGCACCAAAAUAUGAUAAAGUAUUUUAAUCCUCAUUUGGUGUAAAACAGCAGAUUAUGUGUUUUCCUAAUUUAAAACCCCUGCUUUAAUUUCUUAGGGUGCCAUGCUAUUGUUAGUUUUUCUUCGACUGAACCUAAUCGUCCCUCCACUAUCUUUAGCAUUCAGCUAUUUUUAAUGCAAGUAUUCAGUCUUUAAACACGAAAACCAGCCAUAACAAUAAGUAAAAGAGGUACGAAAGAUACAAGAGGAACAUUCAAACUCAUAAAUCGAAAAUAAACUGACAACGCCAUGGCUAAAAAUGAAAGAGACAAACAGACAAACAAUAGUACACAUAACACAACAUAGAAAACUAAAGAACAAACAACACGAACCCCACCGAAAACUAGGGGUGUAACUGCCAAUGAGAUAACUAUACAUCUUAGUUUAAAUGGAGUAUUGGUAAGUAAUUAUAGGCAACCAUAUGCAACUGCCUUCAUUUAUGAGAUAUACCUACAAAUAAGGAGAUGUGGUGUAAAAGAGGGACGAAAGAUACAAGAGGAACAUUCAAACUUAUAAAUCGAAAUUAAACUGAAAAAGAAAAAAAAACCCACCCAGACAGACACACAAUAGUACACACAACAGAACAUAGAAAACGAAAGACUAAACAACAUGAACCCCAUCCAAAAGUGGGG